Mauremys mutica (yellowpond turtle) is the source of this 3098-nucleotide RNA transcript. RefSeq lists it as uncharacterized. The record is from RefSeq and is a predicted model, not a curated record. Lineage: Eukaryota; Metazoa; Chordata; Testudines; Geoemydidae. The transcript is spliced from 9 exons.
CUUGCUGUUCCCUGAGUGACCAGAGCAGGGGUUGCUCCAGGCUAAUGAGAACACCUGACUCCAAUUAACCUGCUAAGAGUCAGAUGAGGCUGUUAAGCGUGUGACUCUAAUUAAGCAGUCGGUGUUUGGAAUCCCUCAUCUGUAGUGGCUUCAGUUUUGUUCAGAGGCUGUGAAUUUCCUCGUUGAACACGGUGCUCUGUGGGAUUCAGAUGAGGGAGAGGUACAAGUCUCCUGUGCACAGUUAGUAUUUUGGAUGUAGGUGCAGUGGGCUGCUUUUUAGUUGUAGUGCUAAAGCUGUAAUUGGAGGAGGGUUGAGAAUGGAGCCCUGAGGUGCGGUAGAUGCGAGAAGAAGAAACUAUGCAUGUUGCUGACUGAGAUGGUAACUGAUUUGUUUUCCCCCCUUGGUACUAAACCCAGCACAAGGGAAAAGAAGUGGAGGGUCAGAGUCUGCUCCCCUCAUGCAAUGGAAAGCAAGUAAGAGCAGAGAGACAGCGAACGUUACUGAUGCCAGGCAAGAGCCGUCCAGCUUGGAGCCGAGGAGCCAUCACCGUCAGUGAGAGAAGUGUCUUGUUAGCUGCGCUGGUACAGGAAUUGUCCAGGAACCCUACCCGGAGGAGAGACUCUCAGAAGUGAACCUGAUCAGCCUGAACAUCCUUCUAAGCAGACAUGAACAGUCCUCAGCUUUCUGCCUCCUGCAUAAAUGGCUGAAAAGAAGUCAUGUGCCAGUCUACUACCCUUAUGUGAUGGAAAGCGAGCGAGAGCGAUGAGACCAUGAGCAUGGUUGAUGCCACGCAAAAGCCGUCCAUCUGUCAGCAGAAGAGCCAUCACUGUCAGUGAGAUAAGUAUCUGUUUUGGUGAGGGCUCUGCUCAUGGCCCACGUUGAUGGCUGGUAGGGAUGCCCCGUUAGCUAGGGCUGGGUUUGUAAGAAAAGGUUCCUGACUAGCUGUGGUUGUAAGAGACACAAGGUUCCCAAUUUCAGGGGCUGAUGAUUCCUCUGGUCAGGAGCAGUGUGUCCUACGCAGCAGAAAGUAGCAUCUAGAGGAUGAUUCCAGGUGUCGAGUUAUUUGCCUUCCUCCCAUGUUUCUCUGUCUUCUCUAUUGUGUUGGCCAACACUCUUGCUCUUUCAUUCUCCCUUCCUUGCCUUUCCUGGUGCCGUCUCCCUACGUAGGACGCGGGAAAAGGGUGCUAGGUGUGCAUCCACACAGUCUGUCUUUGGGACCCAUGAAGACUUAUGCAUGAUUUUCAUACCCUCCUAUUAGUGGGUGCCACAGUGGAGCAGUGUCUGUCAGUGUUGACUUGGUCUUUAAUCAUCGCCUGGGGCUGAUGUAGACCAAAUGAGAGAGGGAGGCAGAGAUUAGGGCAAGAUUUCACAUACCUUCAGAGCUUUGUGUAAUGCUGACUCACCCUUGGCUUUUGCAACUGCACUGCAGAGGAAUUGUCCAGGAGCGCUGUCUGGAGGAGAGACUCUCAAAAGCGGACCUGAACAUCCUUCUAAGCAGACGUGAACAGUCCUUAGCUUUCUGCCUCCUGCAUAACUGGCUUACCAAGGGAAAAGAAGUCACGUAUCAGUCUACUGUCAUCAUGCGAAGGAAAGCGAGACCGACGAGACCGCGAUCAUUGUCGAAAUCAGGCAUUAGCUUUACAUCUGGGAGCGGAGCAGUCACCGCUGUCAGUGAGAUAAAUGUCUGGUUUGGUGAGGGAUCUGCUCAUGACGCACCUGGCUCCAGUGUGUCCUCUGCAGGAGAAGGUUGGAUCCAGGGGGGAUGAAUCCAGCUGUUUGCAGAGGAAUCAUCCAGGAGCUCUCGCCGGACGAGAAUAUGCAGAAAUGGACCUGAGCAGCCUGGACAUCCUUUUAAGGAGACAUGAAUAUUCCUCAUCUUUCUGCCUUUUGCAUAGCUGCCUUACCAAGGAAAAAGAAGUCACGGUCAGAGUCUACUGUCCUCAUGCGAUGGAAAGUGAGCGAGAGUGACGAGACCACGAGCAUUGUCGAAAUCAAGCAUUAGGCAUGCAUCUGGGAGCGGAGCAGCUACUGCUGUCAGUGAGAUAAGUGUCUGUUCUGGUGAGAGCUCUGCUCACGGCCCAUCUGGCUCCAGGUAGGGACGUCUUGUUAGUUGGGCCUGGGUUUGUAACAAAAUGUUCAUGACUAGCUGUGGUUAUGAGGGAGACUGGGUCCCCAUUUUCAGGGUCUGCUCAUUUCUCUGCUGACAAGCGCUGUGUCCUCUGCAGAAAAGGUAGGUUCCAGGUGGCGAGUUGCUUGCCUUCCUCCCGUGUUUCUCUCUCUCUUCUCUAGUGUUGGCCAACACACUCUGUCAGUCUGUCCUUGCCUCUUUUUCUGCUGUUUACUUCAUUGCACACAGGCAGGUGAGUUAGCUGUGUAUCCCCAGAGGCCAGGUCUCGGGAAGCAUGGCGAAGUAGGAGAGGACGAAAAUAAUGCGGGGAAGUGGGUGUGAGAGUGGAGGCAGGUACUGGAAGGUCUUGUGCACCUGUAGUGUUUUUGGCAGUGAUGGCUCUUCCAUAGGUGGUUUGCUGUUCUUGCAGAGGGCAGCGGAGCAUCUGCAGGAAGCGGACCUGCACAAUCUAGCUGUUUCGCUUUGCAGUGGAGCCGAGGAGCGCUCUUGUAAUGUUGGAGGAGCAGUCGUACUGAGAUUGGUCAGAUGAGAGAUCGGCCAACCUGUGGCAGAGACCAAGGAAGGAACAGCCACCCGGAGCCCAUCCCUAGGGAUGGAAGCCGGACAAUGAUCUGCAGAUACCACGGAGAAAGAAGUGAAGGGUAAGAGCCCAUCCCCGUUGUGAGAUGGAAAGCACCAAGAACCGGGAGACCACAAGUGUUGUCGAUACCAGCCUAUGGCGAUGCCGUCGAUCUGGGAGUGGAGCAGCCGUCACCACCAGUGAGAUAAGUGUCUGGUUUGGGGAGGACUCAGGUAACGGCCCACCUGCCUCCAGGCUGAGACUUGUCAUUAGCUGGGGCUCGGUUUGUAGGAAAAGAUUCCUGACCUGCUGUGGUUACGAGGGAGACAAGGUCCCCAUUUUCAGGGGCUGGUCUUUUCUCUAUCCACAGUGUGUCCUACGCAGCAGAAGGUUAGAUCGAGGAGGAUGAC